This 416-nucleotide ribosomal RNA is filed under the name uncultured bacterium. RNAcentral describes it as "bacterial SSU rRNA". It matches the Rfam family "Bacterial small subunit ribosomal RNA", at positions 29 to 445 of the family's 1533-position model. The record is from RNAcentral.
AACGAACGCUGGCGGCGUGGUUUAGGCAUGCAAGUCGAGCGAGAAAGUCCUUCGGACGAGUACAGCGGCGAAAGGGUGAGUAAUAUAUAGGUAACCUACCUCUUGGACUCGGAUAAUUCCUGGAAACGGGUUGUAAUACGAGAUCGUCCUAUUGGGUCGCAUGGCCCGACUGGUAAAUGGGAGCUCUGCUUCUGCCGAGAGAGGGGCCUAUAUCCUAUUAGCUAGUUGGUGAGGUAAUGGCUCACCAAGGCUUUGAUGGGUAGCCGGACUGAGAGGUUGGCCGGUCACACUGGGACUGAGACACUGCCCAGACUCCUACGGGAGGCUGCAGUCGAGAAUCUUCCGCAAUGGGCGAAAGCCUGACGGGGCGACGCCGCGUGAACGAGAAGGCCUGGUGUAAGUUCUGUCAGUGGGAA